AGAGUUUGAUCCUGGCUCAGAUUGAACGCUGGCGGCAUGCCUUACACAUGCAAGUCGAACGGUAACAGGCCGCAAGGUGCUGACGAGUGGCGAACGGGUGAGUAACACAUCGGAACGUGCCUGAUAGUGGGGGAUAACUACUCGAAAGAGUGGCUAAUACCGCAUAAGAUCUCAGGAUGAAAGCAGGGGACCGCAAGGCCUUGCGCUAACAGAGCGGCCGAUGGCAGAUUAGGUAGUUGGUGGGAUAAAAGCUUACCAAGCCGACGAUCUGUAGCUGGUCUGAGAGGAUGACCAGCCACACUGGGACUGAGACACGGCCCAGACUCCUACGGGAGGCAGCAGUGGGGAAUUUUGGACAAUGGGCCCAAGCCUGAUCCAGCAAUGCCGCGUGCAGGAUGAAGGCCUUCGGGUUGUAAACUGCUUUUGUACGGAACGAAAAGCUUCUCUCUAAUACAGGGGGGUCAAUGACAGUACCGGGAGAAUAAGCUCCGGCUAACUACGUGCCAGCAGCCGCGGUAAUAC
This 522-nucleotide ribosomal RNA is filed under the name uncultured bacterium. RNAcentral's name for it is "bacterial SSU rRNA". It matches the Rfam family "Bacterial small subunit ribosomal RNA", at positions 8 to 526 of the family's 1533-position model. The record is from RNAcentral.